Molecule: long non-coding RNA, 2312 nt
Filed under: Mytilus galloprovincialis (Mediterranean mussel)
Lineage: Eukaryota; Metazoa; Mollusca; Bivalvia; Mytilida; Mytilidae
Source: RNAcentral
GCUUUUAUUGUUUAAAGAAAAUAUAACAAAAAUAAAAAAAAACUGGGUAAAGUAAGACUUUCUCUUUCUAAUACACAUUACUUUCAAUACAUACCUUAAUACAAUUUUUUUUUCACAAUUUGUCAAACAUCAAUUUCAAAAAAAGGUAAUGGAGGUAAAUAAAAUACAAGUAUGCUUCCUCAUAUCAAGUCUUUGGCAAUAGAAGGCAAAACUGCAUCUUCCCCUUAAAACACAUCAAGAAAAUGGUGUUAAAUUAAAUUGUUUUGGAAUUUUAUUCAAUAGAAUUAACUUGAUCACAAAUUUGAAAUUCAAUCUAAGGGUUCUGAAUUUCAACUGAAUCUUAAUCAUUUAAUAUAAAUAUCAAAUGGAAAUUAUAUGUUUCUUUGUGUCGAAUGAACCUCAAACUUGUCAAAAACAAUCUUAAAUAUCUCUCAAAUUAUAUUCAUCAUUAGGUAUUCCACUUUGGCAUGUCAGUAAUUCCAUCUUAUUUAAUAAAAAUAAUAUUUAUCUUUAAACAUAUGGCCAUCAAAUUUGUUCCUUCAAGAAAGUAAAAUAGCAGAAAACAUAAAAAAAACAACGGCAAUAAUACAUCAUCAAAAUGAUUUUUCUAAAUCAUCUGAUAUUAGUGUUACAUACCAGAAAAAGAAGAAUAAGGGGCAUAACCUUUCUAUCAGACUUUCCAUGUGGUAUCUCAUAACUCAAAAUGUAAGCAUGAAAAUACAGUCUCAAAAUAUCUGUUUAAAUUAAAGAUAGUUAGAUUUCUUUAAGAAAACAGGAUAAAUUUUAAUUUUUUCCUGUCAAAAGUAAUUGUGUGCUUAAAAUAUUUUUGUUUAAAUUAAUGAAAAAAACAACAUAUAUUAUUCAUAUAAAAAUAAGAAGAUGUAGUAUGAUUGCCAUGUACAACAAUCCACAAGAGUUCAAAUGAUGAAAUUAUAUUUUUGUUCAUGGAUAGUUCAGACUGAAGAUAUAGUUUACCAGAAAAACAGAAAAAUUAGGUCAAACUGACCAUCUAGAAUGGAAUAAUUUUUCUGGCUUGAGGUUGGACAGGUCUCUGACAGGUACUUAAAUACAACAUGUACAUAUAUACAUUGUAAAAUAAAUUAUAAAAUGAUUGGUGCUCUGUGCAAACUGACAUUAUAUAAAGGUAAAACCAAGAAAAAUAAUAAAACUGUUACAACAUCAGAACAAGGCUUAGGUCUUGUUUACUCUGAGGUUACAAGAGCGCAAUUAUUUGUAAUGCAUUUUCCAUAGGGUACCAGUGGUAUUUCAUAUUUUAUUUCUCAAAGACUACACAAACUAUGUAGUUCCUGUAAUAAAAUGUACUAGAAAUGCCAGUGUUGCAUAACAGCCAAAAAUAUGUAUAGACAUGAUGCAAAAUUUGACUUAAAAUGCAGUUGAAAACAAUUGUCUUUUUUCACUCUCUUAAUGAAAAAGGAAUAUUUUUAAUGGCUACAAUGUGCAGAAAUGGAAGAUAUUUUCUACACUUUGUAAAAUGUGAAAUUUGAUUUUGUGGAUUAAAACAUAAUUAGAUAAGCUUUUCGUUUAAAAGUAAUUCCAAUCUGUAUCAUCCAAUCAGAUGCUGAACAGGAUUCUAUUUUAAGUACCAUAUUAGGGUAAAACAAGAAUGUGUUCCCCAGUACAUUGAUACCCCAUCUGCACUAUCAUUUUCUAUGUUCAAUGGACCAUGAAAAUGAGGGAAAAUCUCUAAUUUGGCAUUAAAAUUAGAAAGAUCAUAUCAUAGGGAACAUGUGUACUAAGUUUCAAGUUGAUUGGACUUCAACUUCAUCAAAAACUACCUUGAUUAAAAACUUUAACCUGAAGCGGGACAGACUCAUGGACGAACAGACGAACGAACAAACUCAUGAACGAACGGACGAAAGAACGAACAGACAGACAGACGCACAGACCAAAAUAACAUAAUACCCAUAAAUGGGGCAUAAUAAAUGGGGCAUAAAAAACUUACAAAAGGGACAGUAAAAUGUUAACAAAUAAUUGCGCUCUUGUAACUCUAAGCAACAAUCAUAUCAGUAGAAAAAGGGAGAUAAACCUAUGAAAUACAGGUUACACUUUAACAAGAUAUUAUUUCAAUACUUUCAUUAUUUUCAAAUAUGAAAUCGUUUGUUUUUUCAUUGUCUGCUUGUUUGGCAGUAACAGAACUUUCAUUAAAUCUUACAACAGAUUAUACAAAUCUUAAUGAAAUAAUACCUUGUUAUAUAUCAUAACAUUAAAAUUAAAAAAAAAAUGGGAAUUUUCAGCUAUAUUCAAAUAUUUCAAAUAUAAUAAGACUUGAGUGACAACAAUAAUAAACAAAC